Molecule: ribosomal RNA, 466 nt
Filed under: uncultured bacterium
Lineage: Bacteria
Description: partial 16S ribosomal RNA
Rfam family: Bacterial small subunit ribosomal RNA
Source: RNAcentral
CUACGGGGGGCAGCAGUGGGGAAUAUUGGACAAUGGGGGAAACCCUGAUCCAGCAAUGCCGCGUGUGUGAAGAAGGCCUGCGGGUUGUAAAGCACUUUCGGUUGGGAGAACUGCUUCUAGCACUAAUAUUGUUGGAAGUUGACGUUACCUUCAGAAGAAGCACCGGCUAGCUCCGUGCCAGCAGGCCGCGGUAAUACGGAGGGUGCAAGCGUUAAUCGGAAUUACUGGGCGUAAAGCGCGCGUAGGCGGCUAGAUCAGUCGGGUGUGAAAGCCCCGGGCUUAACCUGGGAACUGCAUCCGAUACUGUCUAGCUUGAGUACAGGAGAGGAGAGUGGAAUUCCACAUGUAGCGGUGAAAUGCGUAGAUAUGUGGAGGAACACCAAUGGCGAAGGCAGCUCUCUGGCCUGAUACUGACGCUGAGGUGCGAAAGCGUGGGGAGCAAACAGGAUUAGAUACCCCGGUAGUC